Molecule: long non-coding RNA, 694 nt
Organism: Penaeus indicus
Lineage: Eukaryota; Metazoa; Arthropoda; Malacostraca; Decapoda; Penaeidae
Exons: 2
Source: RefSeq, a predicted model, not a curated record
UGCACAUUUAAUCAUAGAAUAUGUAGUGUAAAGUAUUCAUAGUCAAGAGCUAAGCCUACCUAGCCUCAUCUGUUUAUCCUCACAUACUUACCUUUUUUUUUUUUUAACUUGUUGAUAAUGUUAGGAUAGUAAUGAUAAGGAAAAUGACAUUUGUGAAUAAUAAUAGUAACAGAAAUGUUAAAAGUUCAACAAAAAAUUAAGGAUUGCAUAAAAUUAGGAAGAACUAGUAAUUAUCCCCUUGGAGACUUGGCACUUCAGGAACUAUCUAACUAAAACCAAAUUAAUCAAACUUUUGUUUCAGCAUAUAUGUAGGUCAAUAUGUAUUCAGAAAAUAAUCUAUUUGCCUUAACUUAUGAAUGAACAGAUGUUUCUGAACUAAAAACUGCCAAAGGACUUGCAUUACAAGACAUCUUAACAGAGAUACAUACCUACAUUCACAGAAUUGAUUUUCCAGUAGAAGUAAGAAUUCAUCUUGUGGAACGGCUAUCAGACAUUGAAGUGCGGCUGUGCUCUGGGGCAUCAGAAAAAAUCCAGUUGUCAGCAGUUCUAGCUGCUUUUGCCCAAGCAAAACACAUGGUAGCAACCCAGGCAGCUGCUUAGAAAUGUGUAUGUAGAGUGUACAUAAAUAUAACUUUUGUAACUGUCUGUCUUGCUGUAUUGAGAAAAGGUUUUCAAAUAAAUUCUUAGUUUAUAA